This 328-nucleotide ribosomal RNA is filed under the name uncultured eukaryote. RNAcentral describes it as "partial 18S ribosomal RNA". It matches the Rfam family "Eukaryotic small subunit ribosomal RNA", at positions 1470 to 1796 of the family's 1831-position model. The record is from RNAcentral.
CCCUUAGAUGUCCGGGGCUGCACGCGCGCUACACUGAAGGAAUCAGCGUGCUAAAACCAUUGUCGAAAGGCAUUGGUAAACCCAUUAAAAUCCUACGUGAUUGGGAUCGGGAAUUGCAAUUAUUUCCCUUGAACGAGGAAUUCCCAGUAAGUGUGGGUCAUAAGCUCGCGUUGAUUACGCCCCUGCCCUUUGUACACACCGCCCGUCGCUGCCCGGGACUGAGCCGUUUCGAGAAAAGCGGGGACUGCUGCUGUCGGGGCUUUCGGGCCUUGGCUUCGGUGGAAACCGCUUUAAUCGCAGUGGCUUGAACCGGGCAAAANUCGUAACA